This 467-nucleotide ribosomal RNA is filed under the name uncultured bacterium. Its description in RNAcentral is "bacterial SSU rRNA". It matches the Rfam family "Bacterial small subunit ribosomal RNA", at positions 917 to 1382 of the family's 1533-position model. The record is from RNAcentral.
GGGCCCGCACAAGCAGCGGAGCAUGUGGUUUAAUUCGAAGCAACGCGAAGAACCUUACCAGGGCUUGACAUCCCGAUGACCGGUACAGAGAUGUACCUUCCCUUCGGGGCAUUGGAGACAGGUGGUGCAUGGUUGUCGUCAGCUCGUGUCGUGAGAUGUUGGGUUAAGUCCCGCAACGAGCGCAACCCCUAUCCUUAGUUGCCAUCAGUUAAAGCUGGGCACUCUAAAGAGACUGCCGGGGAUAACUCGGAGGAAGGUGGGGAUGACGUCAAAUCAUCAUGCCCCUUAUGUCCUGGGCUACACACGUGCUACAAUGGCCUGUAACAGAGGGAAGCGAAGUCGUAAGGCGGAGCAAAACUCAGAAACCAGGUCCCAGUUCGGAUUGUGGGCUGCAACUCGCCCACAUGAAGUCGGAGUUGCUAGUAAUCGCGAAUCAGCAUGUCGCGGUGAAUACGUUCCCGGGCCUU